RNAcentral lists this long non-coding RNA (428 nucleotides) under Sander lucioperca (pikeperch). RNAcentral describes it as "lncRNA (ENSSLUG00000012089.1)". Lineage: Eukaryota; Metazoa; Chordata; Actinopteri; Perciformes; Percidae. The record is from RNAcentral.
CAGUACCACUGUCACCAGGGACCUGGGAUCCCACUGGACAAACUGUGCGACUUCAGUACAGACUGUCCCCUCGGCGAUGACGAAGGCAACCUAUGUCGCCACUUCCUCAAUGGCAGCUACUGCUCUUUUGAAGAGGGCGAGUGCAGUUGGCAGUCAAUAACGGGCCACGGUCUCUCCUGGAGAAGACUCCAGUCGCCAGCAAAGGCUACUAGACAGAGCUGCCCAUCAUCAGGUGCUACAUUCAGUGUGGAAGGAGGCCAGUCCAAAGCCCAGCGUGGCUCAGCAAUACUUAGGAGCCCUCUCUUCCCCCCUCCCCUAAGAAACUCCCCAUGCACGGUGCGAUUCUGGCUGUGUUCUGGAGGCUUACAGAGGGGGUCGCUGUCUCUGUGGAUAGCAGAGAACAGUACAGGCCCUGAGGAGCAGCGCAG